AGUAAAGUCAGCUAAAAAGCUAUCGGGCCCAUACCCCGAAAAUGUCCGCCGGACCUAUACUA
Molecule: transfer RNA, 62 nt
Filed under: Gloydius brevicauda (short-tailed mamushi)
Lineage: Eukaryota; Metazoa; Chordata; Lepidosauria; Squamata; Viperidae
Description: tRNA-Met
Source: RNAcentral